UGGGGAAUAUUGCACAAUGGGCGCAAGCCUGAUGCAGCAACGCCGCGUGGAGGAAGACGGUUUUCGGAUUGUAAACUCCUGUUCUUAGUGAAGAAUAAUGACGGUAGCUAAGGAGCAAGCCACGGCUAACUACGUGCCAGCAGCCGCGGUAAUACGUAGGUGGCAAGCGUUGUCCGGAAUUACUGGGUGUAAAGGGAGCGCAGGCGGGAAAUCAAGUCAGCUGUGAAAUCUAUGGGCUUAACCCAUAAACUGCAGUUGAAACUGUUUUUCUUGAGUGAAGUAGAGGUUGGCGGAAUUCCGAGUGUAGCGGUGAAAUGCGUAGAUAUUCGGAGGAACACCGGUGGCGAAGGCGGCCAACUGGGCUUUUACUGACGCUGAGGCUCGAAAGUGUGGGGAGCAAACAGGAUUAGAUACCCUGGUAGU
RNAcentral lists this ribosomal RNA (423 nucleotides) under uncultured Eubacterium sp. Its description in RNAcentral is "bacterial SSU rRNA". It matches the Rfam family "Bacterial small subunit ribosomal RNA", at positions 355 to 794 of the family's 1533-position model. Lineage: Bacteria; Bacillati; Bacillota; Clostridia; Eubacteriales; Eubacteriaceae. The record is from RNAcentral.